UUUCUAAUUGCAAUCGAUGAGCGAGUAUAGCAAUCAAUUGAAUUUUGUUGGAAGCUGUAAGGCCUGAGAUUUUGGCAGUAUAGCUGAACUCUCUGUUGACGAUGUUUUUGUGUGUAAUUUAAUUACAUAAGCACUCGUCAAGUUUCGGAAGAAAACGAGUUAGAACGGAGAAGUUGUGCGAUAAAUAUUAAUCACUUAAGUGAAUAGUAACUCCGGUUUUCCGGAGAAGCCGCGGAGUAGAGUUGGCUUU
RNAcentral lists this long non-coding RNA (250 nucleotides) under Ananas comosus (pineapple). Its description in RNAcentral is "long non-coding RNA (ACOM_LNC036360)". Lineage: Eukaryota; Viridiplantae; Streptophyta; Magnoliopsida; Poales; Bromeliaceae. The record is from RNAcentral.